This 379-nucleotide ribosomal RNA is filed under the name uncultured bacterium. Its description in RNAcentral is "bacterial SSU rRNA". It matches the Rfam family "Bacterial small subunit ribosomal RNA", at positions 29 to 398 of the family's 1533-position model. The record is from RNAcentral.
AACGAACGCUGGCGGCGCGCCUAAUACAUGCAAGUCGAGCGAGAAGACGUAGCAAUACGUUUGUAAAGCGGCGAACGGGUGAGGAAUACAUGGGUAACCUACCCUCGAGUGGGGAAUAACUAGCCGAAAGGUUAGCUAAUACCGCGUACGCUCCUUGGACUUCGGUUCAGGGAGGAAAGCGAUACCGUGGGUAUCGCGCUCUUGGAUGGGCUCAUGUCCUAUCAGCUUGUUGGUGAGGAACGGCUCACCAAGGCUUCGACGGGUAGCUGGUCUGAGAGGACGAUCAGCCACACUGGCACUGCGACACGGGGCCAGACUCCUACGGGAGGCAGCAGUAAGGAAUAUUGCGCAAUGGGCGAAAGCCUGACGCAGCGACGCC